AGGACGAACGCUGGCGGCGCGCUUAACACAUGCAAGUCGAGCGAGAACCAGGCCUUCGGGCCUGGGGAAAGCGGCGAACGGGUGAGUAACACGUGGGUAACCCACCCUUGGUACCGGGAUAGCCCGAGGAAACUCGGAUUAAAUACCGGAUGGCCCAACAGCUUCUCGGAGCGGUUGGAAAAGGUAGCUUCGGCCUCCGACCAAGGACGGGCCCGCGGUGGAUUAGCUUGUUGGUGAGGUAACGGCUCACCAAGGCUUCGAUCCAUAGCUGGUCUGAGAGGACGAUCAGCCACACUGGGACUGAGACACGGCCCAGACUCCUACGGGAGGCAGCAGUGGGGAAUCUUGCGCAAUGGGCGAAAGCCUGACGCAGCGACGCCGCGUGGGGGAAGAAGGCUUUCGGGUUGUAAACCCCGUUUCAGGAAGGACGAAGCCACGUCGGGUUAAUAGCCCAGAGGGUGACGGUACUUCCAGAAGAAGCCCCGGCUAACUACGCGCCAGCAGCCGCGGUAA
This 513-nucleotide ribosomal RNA is filed under the name uncultured bacterium. Its description in RNAcentral is "SSU rRNA". It matches the Rfam family "Bacterial small subunit ribosomal RNA", at positions 26 to 523 of the family's 1533-position model. The record is from RNAcentral.